Molecule: ribosomal RNA, 497 nt
Filed under: uncultured bacterium
Lineage: Bacteria
Description: partial 16S ribosomal RNA
Rfam family: Bacterial small subunit ribosomal RNA
Source: RNAcentral
GAUGAACGCUGGCGGCGUGCCUAAUACAUGCAAGUCGAACGCAUAGCGAAAGGUGCUUGCACCUUUCAAGUGAGUGGCGAACGGGUGAGUAACACGUGGACAACCUGCCUCAAGGCUGGGGAUAACAUUUGGAAACAGAUGCUAAUACCGAAUAAAACUUAGUGUCGCAUGACACAAAGUUAAAAGGCGCUUCGGCGUCACCUAGCGAUGGAUCCGCGGUGCAUUAGUUAGUUGGUGGGGUAAAGGCCUACCAAGACAAUGAUGCAUAGCCGAGUUGAGAGACUGAUCGGCCACAUUGGGACUGAGACACGGCCCAAACUCCUACGGGAGGCUGCAGUAGGGAAUCUUCCACAAUGGGCGAAAGCCUGAUGGAGCAACGCCGCGUGUGUGAUGAAGGCUUUCGGGUCGUAAAGCACUGUUGUAUGGGAAGAACAGCUAGAAUAGGAAAUGAUUUUAGUUUGACGGUACCAUACCAGAAAGGGACGGCUAAAUACGUG